Molecule: small RNA, 571 nt
Filed under: Pongo abelii (Sumatran orangutan)
Lineage: Eukaryota; Metazoa; Chordata; Mammalia; Primates; Hominidae
Description: retained intron
Source: RNAcentral
AGCAGAGCUGGGCAGCACAGACCUGGGAGCCAGCAAGUCCACACAGUCUGGCAUUUACAAGUGAAACAGGUGUGACCUGCAGCUGCUGCCGUUGGGACACCAGGCAAGGGGUUAGAAUGGAGAUUGGGAAAGGGCCUCGCUGUCAAAGUUAACUAGCCUAUCAGUGAGGAAUGAAAAUCACUCCACUCUCUAGAAAACCAGGUUACUUCGUCAUUUUCCUUCCAGCUACCUCUCUCUGAAUGUCUAAAAUGAAGCGGUUUCCUUUCUUCAGCUCAGAGGCUGAGAAUGGUGUGGAGGAGAAAAAGAAAGCCUGCAGGUCGCCAACAGCCCAAUCCCCUACCCCAUCUGUGGAGGCCGAGUCCCCAGACCAGAAGAAAAUCAUUAGCCUACGGUCAAAAUCCAGUUUUGAUGGUGCCUCUUUAGCAAGUGAUAAGAACGACUGUAAAACAGAAAGCAAAAAUGACCCUAAGACUGAAAGAAAAAAGUCUUCAUCUUCCAGCCAGUACAAGGCCAAUAUGCACUUUCACAAGUUGUUUCUUAGUGUCCCAACGGAGGAACCACUGAAGCAAAG